Molecule: ribosomal RNA, 305 nt
Filed under: uncultured bacterium
Lineage: Bacteria
Description: bacterial SSU rRNA
Rfam family: Bacterial small subunit ribosomal RNA
Source: RNAcentral
GCCUACGGGGGGCAGCAGUGAGGAAUAUUGGUCAAUGGUCGGGAGACUGAACCAGCCAAGCCGCGUGAGGGAGGAAGGUACAGAGUAUCGUAAACCUCUUUUGUCAGGGAACAAAGGCGGGGACGUGUCCCCGGAUGAGUGUACCUGAAGAAAAAGCAUAGGCUAACUCCGUGCCAGCAGCCGCGAUAAUACGGAGGAUGCGAGCGUUAUCCGGAUUUAUUGGGUUUAAAGGGUGCGCAGGCGGUCUGUUAAGUCAGCGGUCAAAGCCCGGGGCUCAACCCCGGCCCGCCGUUGAAACUGGCAGG